This is a non-coding RNA of Ciona intestinalis (vase tunicate), 71 nucleotides long. The record is from Rfam. Lineage: Eukaryota; Metazoa; Chordata; Ascidiacea; Phlebobranchia; Cionidae.
ACGUGUGUCAUUUUUCUAUUAUGCAACUUUUUUUUCAUGUUAGUUGCAUAGUAACAAAAGUGAUCAUACGU